UACGAAGGGGGCUAGCGUUGCUCGGAAUCACUGGGCGUAAAGCGCACGUAGGCGGCUCUUUAAGUCGGUGGUGAAAUCCUGGAGCUCAACUCCAGAACUGCCUCCGAUACUGAGGGUCUUCGAGUCCGGGAGAGGUGAGUGGAACUGCGAGUGUAGAGGUGAAAUUCGUAGAUAUUCGCAAGAACACCAGUGGCGAAGGCGGCUCACUGGCCCGGUACUGACGCUGAGGUGCGAAAGCGUGGGGAGCAAACAGG
This 254-nucleotide ribosomal RNA is filed under the name uncultured bacterium. RNAcentral describes it as "partial 16S ribosomal RNA". It matches the Rfam family "Bacterial small subunit ribosomal RNA", at positions 524 to 776 of the family's 1533-position model. The record is from RNAcentral.